UGGCCUAGAAAUCCCAAAAGUUAGGCCACCAAUCUAUUUUGUGCGAAAAAACC
This is a non-coding RNA of Caenorhabditis elegans, 53 nucleotides long. The record is from Ensembl. Lineage: Eukaryota; Metazoa; Nematoda; Chromadorea; Rhabditida; Rhabditidae.